This 86-nucleotide transfer RNA is filed under the name Candidatus Roizmanbacteria bacterium CG_4_8_14_3_um_filter_34_9. RNAcentral describes it as "tRNA-Tyr". It matches the Rfam family "tRNA". Rfam says of the family: Transfer RNA (tRNA) molecules are approximately 80 nucleotides in length. Their secondary structure includes four short double-helical elements and three loops (D, anti-codon, and T loops). Further hydrogen bonds mediate the characteristic L-shaped molecular structure. tRNAs have two regions of fundamental functional importance: the anti-codon, which is responsible for specific mRNA codon recognition, and the 3' end, to which the tRNAs corresponding amino acid is attached (by aminoacyl-tRNA synthetases). tRNAs cope with the degeneracy of the genetic code in two manners: having more than one tRNA (with a specific anti-codon) for a particular amino acid; and 'wobble' base-pairing, i.e. permitting non-standard base-pairing at the 3rd anti-codon position. Lineage: Bacteria; Candidatus Roizmaniibacteriota. The record is from RNAcentral. RNAcentral also lists the same sequence under 2 other names.
CCAGAGGUGGCGGAGUGGCCAAUCGCAUUAGACUGUAAAUCUAACGGGGUAACCCUGCGGAGGUUCGAAUCCUCCCCUCUGGACAA